RNAcentral lists this long non-coding RNA (327 nucleotides) under Pan troglodytes (chimpanzee). RNAcentral describes it as "long non-coding RNA NONPTRT017824". Lineage: Eukaryota; Metazoa; Chordata; Mammalia; Primates; Hominidae. The record is from RNAcentral.
UUAACCAAAGAGAUUAAAGACUUAUACAUUAAAAACCACAAGGCAUUGUUUAAAGAAAUUAAAGAAGAUAAAAAUAAAGACAUGACAUGCUUAUGAAUUAGAAGACAACAUUAUGGUCACACAACAAUAUGAAUGUACUUAACACUCCUAAACUGUAUAUUUAGAUAUAGCUAAAAUUGUAAAUUUUAUGUAUUUAUUACCACUAUUACAUUUUUUAAAAAUUAAUAUAAACAGGGUGCUGAGCCAGGAUCUGUGCCUAACUCAAGCAGGGGAGGAGUCUACACUCAGGAAACAGAGGGAUGGGUCACACGGGUUUGUUGGCUGCUG